RNAcentral lists this ribosomal RNA (248 nucleotides) under uncultured bacterium. Its description in RNAcentral is "partial 16S ribosomal RNA". It matches the Rfam family "Bacterial small subunit ribosomal RNA", at positions 523 to 769 of the family's 1533-position model. The record is from RNAcentral.
AUACGGGGGGUGCUAGCGUUAUUCGGAAUCAUUGGGCGUAAAGGGACGCGUAGGCGGUCUUUAAAGUCAGAUGUGAAAGCCCUCGGCUUAACCGAGGAAGUGCAUUUGAUACUAAAAGACUUGAGUAUGGGAGAGGGAAGCGGAAUUCCUGGUGUAGCGGUGAAAUGCGUAGAUAUCAGGAGGAACACCAGUGGCGAAGGCGGCUUCCUGGACCAAUACUGACGCUGAGGCGCGAAGGCGUGGGGAGC